CGAGUCCGAGUCUCCACGGAGACGAAGUGGCGGUCAUCCAGCUUCCUAGAAAAGCUCUAACCACGUUAAUCUUUAGUUGCCUGUACCCGAAACCGACACAGGUAGGGGGGUAGAGAAUACCAAGGGGCGCGAGAUAACUCUCUCUAAGGAACUCGGCAAAAUGACCCCGUAACUUCGGGAGAAGGGGUACCACUGAGAAGUGGUCGCAGUGAAGAGGCCCAGGCGACUGUUUACCAAAAACACAGGUCUCCGCCAAGUCGCAAGACGAAGUAUGGGGGCUGACGCCUGCCCAGUGCCGGAAGGUUAAGGAAGUGGGUUAGGGAUUCGUCCCGAAGCUGACGACUGAAGCCCCGGUGAACGGCGGCCGUAACUAUAACGGUCCUAAGGUAGCGAAAUUCCUUGUCGGGUAAGUUCCGACCCGCACGAAAGGCGUAACGAUCUGGGCGCUGUCUCGGAGAGAGGCUCGGCGAAAUAGGAUUGUCUGUGAAGAUACGGACUACCUGCACCUGGACAGAAAGACCCUAUGAAGCUUUACUGUAGCUUGGAAUUGGGUUCGGGCUUGGUUUGCGCAGGAUAGGUGGGAGGCGAAGAAGAUUUGCUUGUGGGUGAAUCUGAGCCAACGGUGAGAUACCACUCUAACCAGGCUAGAAUUCUAACUUCAACCCGUCAACCGGGGGAAGGACAGUUUCAGGUGGGCAGUUUGACUGGGGCGGUCGCCUCCUAAAAGAUAACGGAGGCGCACAAAGGUUCCCUCAGGCUGUUGGAAAUCAGCCAACGAGUGCAAAGGCAGAAGGGAGCUUGACUGCGAGACCUACAAGUCAAGCAGGGUGGAAACACGGUCUUAGUGAUCCGACGGCACCGAGUGGAAGGGCCGUCGCUCAACGGAUAAAAGUUACUCUAGGAUAACAGGCUGAUCUCCCCCAAGAGUUCACAUCGACGGGGAGGUUUGGCACCUCGAUGUCGGCUCAUCGCAACCUGGGGCGGAAGUACGUCCCAAGGGUUGGGCUGUUCGCCCAUUAAAGCGGUACGUGAGCUGGGUUCAGAACGUCGUGAGACAGUUCGGUCCAUAUCCGGUGUAGGCGCAAGAGCAUUGAGAGGAGUCUUCCUUAGUACGAGAGGACCGGGAAGAACGCACCGCUGGUGUACCUGUUAUCGUGCCAACGGUAAACGCAGGGUAGCCAAGUGCGGAGUGGAUAACCGCUGAAAGCAUCUAAGUGGGAAGCCCACCUCAAGAUGAGUGUUCUCAUGGAGUAAUCCAGUAAGGUCACGGGAAGACGACCCGUUGAUAGGCGGUAGGUGGAAGUUCAGCAAUGGAUGAAGCCGAGCCGUACUAACAGACCGAGGGCUUGACC
This 1352-nucleotide ribosomal RNA is filed under the name metagenome. RNAcentral describes it as "bacterial LSU rRNA". It matches the Rfam family "Bacterial large subunit ribosomal RNA", at positions 1564 to 2925 of the family's 2925-position model. The record is from RNAcentral.